RNAcentral lists this ribosomal RNA (615 nucleotides) under Triticum aestivum (bread wheat). RNAcentral's name for it is "partial small subunit ribosomal RNA". The record is from RNAcentral. Lineage: Eukaryota; Viridiplantae; Streptophyta; Magnoliopsida; Poales; Poaceae.
AUGGGCAACCCGGAGAAGCUGAUGGCGCAGAUCUUCGACCUCAAGUUCACGUCCAAGUCGCUGCAGCGGCAGGCGCGCAAGUGCGAGAAGGAGGAGAAGGAGCAGAAGCUCAAGGUGAAGAAGGCCAUCGAGAAGGGCAACGUGGACGGCGCCCGGAUCUACGCCGAGAACGCCAUCCGCAAGCGCACCGAGCACAUGAACUACCUCCGCCUCGCCUCCCGCCUCGACGCCGUCGUCGCGCGCCUCGACACGCAGGCCAAGAUGCAGGCCAUCGGCAAGUCCAUGGGCAGCAUCGUCAAGUCGCUCGACUCCUCCCUCGCCACGGGCAACCUCCAGAAGAUGUCCGAGACCAUGGACAGCUUCGAGCGCCAGUUCGUCAACAUGGAGGUCCAGGCCGAGUUCAUGGAGGGCGCCAUGGCCGGCUCCACCUCCCUCUCCACGCCCGAGACCGAGGUCAACUCCCUCAUGCAGCAGGUCGCCGACGACUACGGCCUCGAGGUCUCCGUCGGCCUCCCCCAGGCCGCAGCCCACGCCAUCCCGGCCGCCAAGGACAAGGAGAAGGUCGACGAGGACGACCUCACCCGCCGCCUCGCCGAGCUCAAGGCCCGCGGCUGA